CCGAUAGUGAACCAGUACCGUGAGGGAAAGGCGAAAAGAACCCCGGCGAGGGGAGUGAAAAAGAACCUGAAACCGUGUACGUACAAGCAGUGGGAGCACCCUUUGGGUGUGACUGCGUACCUUUUGUAUAAUGGGUCAGCGACUUAUAUUCUGUAGCAAGGUUAACCGAAUAGGGGAGCCGGAGGGAAACCGAGUCUUAAUUGGGCGUUAAGUUGCAGGGUAUAGACCCGAAACCCGGUGAUCUAGCCAUGGGCAGGUUGAAGGUUGGGUAACACUAACUGGAGGACCGAACCGACUAAUGUUGAAAAAUUAGCGGAUGACCUGUGGCUGGGGGUGAAAGGCCAAUCAAACCGGGAGAUAGCUGGUUCUCCCCGAAAGCUAUUUAGGUAGCGCCUCGUGAAUUCAUCUCCGGGGGUAGAGCACUGUUUCGGCUAGGGGGCCAUCCCGGCUUACCAACCCGAUGCAAACUGCGAAUACCGGAGAAUGUUAUCACGGGAGACACACGGCGGGUGCUAACGUCCGUCGUGAAGAGGGAAACAACCCAGACCGCCAGCUAAGGUCCCAAAGUCAUGGUUAAGUGGGAAACGAUGUGGGAAGGCCCAGACAGCCAGGAUGUUGGCUUAGAAGCAGCCAUCAUUUAAAGAAAGCGUAAUAGCUCACUGGUCGAGUCGGCCUGCGCGGAAGAUGUAACGGGGCUAAACCAUGCACCGAAGCUGCGGCAGCGACACUGUGUGUUGUUGGGUAGGGGAGCGUUCUGUAAGCCUGUGAAGGUGUGUCGUGAGGCAUGCUGGAGGUAUCAGAAGUGCGAAUGCUGACAUAAGUAACGAUAAAGCGGGUGAAAAGCCCGCUCGCCGGAAGACCAAGGGUUCCUGUCCAACGUUAAUCGGGGCAGGGUGAGUCGACCCCUAAGGCGAGGCCGAAAGGCGUAGUCGAUGGGAAACGGGUUAAUAUUCCCGUACUUGGUGUUACUGCGAAGGGGGGACGGAGAAGGCUAUGUUGGCCGGGCGACGGUUGUCCCGGUUUAAGCGUGUAGGUGUGUGUUCCAGGUAAAUCCGGUUCACUUUAACACUGAGGCGUGACGACGAGGCACUACGGUGCUGAAGCAACAAAUGCCCUGCUUCCAGGAAAAGCCUCUAAGCAUCAGGUAACAUCAAAUCGUACCCCAAACCGACACAGGUGGUCAGGUAGAGAAUACCAAGGCGCUUGAGAGAACUCGGGUGAAGGAACUAGGCAAAAUGGUGCCGUAACUUCGGGAGAAGGCACGCUGACACGUAGGUGAAGUGAUUUACUCAUGGAGCUGAAGUCAGUCGAAGAUACCAGCUGGCUGCAACUGUUUAUUAAAAACACAGCACUGUGCAAACACGAAAGUGGACGUAUACGGUGUGACGCCUGCCCGGUGCCGGAAGGUUAAUUGAUGGGGUCAGCGCAAGCGAAGCUCCUGAUCGAAGCCCCGGUAAACGGCGGCCGUAACUAUAACGGUCCUAAGGUAGCGAAAUUCCUUGUCGGGUAAGUUCCGACCUGCACGAAUGGCGUAAUGAUGGCCAGGCUGUCUCCACCCGAGACUCAGUGAAAUUGAACUCGCUGUGAAGAUGCAGUGUACCCGCGGCAAGACGGAAAGACCCCGUGAACCUUUACUAUAGCUUGACACUGAACAUUGAGCCUUGAUGUGUAGGAUAGGUGGGAGGCUUUGAAGUGUGGACGCCAGUCUGCAUGGAGCCGACCUUGAAAUACCACCCUUUAAUGUUUGAUGUUCUAACGUGGACCCGUUACCCGGGUUGCGGACAGUGUCUGGUGGGUAGUUUGACUGGGGCGGUCUCCUCCUAAAGAGUAACGGAGGAGCACGAAGGUUGGCUAAUCCUGGUCGGACAUCAGGAGGUUAGUGCAAUGGCAUAAGCCAGCUUGACUGCGAGCGUGACGGCGCGAGCAGGUGCGAAAGCAGGUCAUAGUGAUCCGGUGGUUCUGAAUGGAAGGGCCAUCGCUCAACGGAUAAAAGGUACUCCGGGGAUAACAGGCUGAUACCGCCCAAGAGUUCAUAUCGACGGCGGUGUUUGGCACCUCGAUGUCGGCUCAUCACAUCCUGGGGCUGAAGUAGGUCCCAAGGGUAUGGCUGUUCGCCAUUUAAAGUGGUACGCGAGCUGGGUUUAGAACGUCGUGAGACAGUUCGGUCCCUAUCUGCCGUGGGCGCUGGAGAACUGAGGGGGGCUGCUCCUAGUACGAGAGGACCGGAGUGGACGCAUCACUGGUGUUCGGGUUGUCAUGCCAAUGGCACUGCCCGGUAGCUAAAUGCGGAAGAGAUAAGUGCUGAAAGCAUCUAAGCACGAAACUUGCCCCGAGAUGAGUUCUCCCUGAGACUUAAAGUCUCCUGAAGGAACGUUGAAGACGACGACGUUGAUAGGCCGGGUGUGUAAGCGCAGCGAUGCGUUGAGCUAACCGGUACUAAUGAACCGUGAGGCUUAACCUUACAACGCCGAAG
RNAcentral lists this ribosomal RNA (2473 nucleotides) under Salmonella enterica subsp. enterica serovar Enteritidis. RNAcentral's name for it is "bacterial LSU rRNA". It matches the Rfam family "Bacterial large subunit ribosomal RNA", at positions 484 to 2925 of the family's 2925-position model. Lineage: Bacteria; Pseudomonadati; Pseudomonadota; Gammaproteobacteria; Enterobacterales; Enterobacteriaceae. The record is from RNAcentral.